GAACUUUGGUAGCACAUACACUAAAACUGAAAUAAUAGAAGAUCAGCUAUUAAAUAAGAGAAGAUCAGCAUGGCCCCAGAGCAAAGAUGUCAUACAAAUUCGUGAAUUGCUCCAUAUAUUU
Bos grunniens (domestic yak) is the source of this 121-nucleotide small nuclear RNA. The record is from Ensembl. Lineage: Eukaryota; Metazoa; Chordata; Mammalia; Artiodactyla; Bovidae.